This is a long non-coding RNA of Acinonyx jubatus (cheetah), 6117 nucleotides long. RefSeq lists it as uncharacterized. The record is from RefSeq and is a predicted model, not a curated record. The transcript is spliced from 2 exons. Lineage: Eukaryota; Metazoa; Chordata; Mammalia; Carnivora; Felidae.
GUGGCCUAACGCUGCGUCCCUACCUACGUCUUUCCCUCACUGCGUCUGCUGCUCUGGGUGUCUCAUCCUCUCCCAUCCUCACUAGAAUGAAUCACCUCCCUUCACGGCUCACCUGGACUGCUGCGGGCAACCGGGUCCUGAUGCGUCGGGUGUCACGCGAAAGGAUAGCUGCCACGCCUGUUACGAUGCAGCGGGGCCGAAACCAACAAUGCUGAGAAGCACCCAGAUACGUUCCAUUCUCUGGGCCACCGCGGUACGAUGGCAAGAACCUUUAUGGCUCAGCCCAGUCCAACACGUGGGCUCCUCGGUUUAUAGGAAAAAUUACGUAUGUGUGCACACAUACGAUCACCUGUCCCUUUUCUGCACGGCCUGCAGCUGACUGCCUCUCCUCGGUUCCUCACGUGUUCACACGAGUUCCCAUGGCUCCUGCCGCCACGGCACCCUCCUUCCUCACCCCGCCCACCCAGGCUCCGAUUCCAUCGCCGAUAACUGUCUCCCCGUUCCUCCCUUACCUUUCCAGGAAAGACAGUGAGAAGGAAUGCCUGAUAAUCAGCACGAAGGAGAUGGCCCCCAACAGGAAGCUCCGUGCGGACCCCAGAGUUCUCCUUAGGCCUUGACGUUUCCGGUCAUCCUGGUCCUGGUCCUGGUCCACAGUCAUCACUGUGACUGCUGGUGAUCGCUGUGCUGCUCACCACCCUGCCUCUGCUAAUGAAUGAAGACGUGUGUGUUCUCUGGCUCAGUGAGGGUGUCUGCAACGGGCCUAAAGGAGCGUGGCACAUGGCCUGAGAAAAUCUGUGUAUGUAACCACGCGAGUCAGCCACGGAAGGACGCUGAAUACGAAAGACCGCGCUUAACACACAAAAGUACCGAGAACCGAGGAGGUCAGUGAAUGAGAAGUUUAUGUAUUUGUGAAAGAGGUUGUCUUCAAGCAAGUUGUCCUGAUGACAGACAUUGCUGAUUUCGUAUGUGACGCAGUGCAGAUACCAGAAGGAAGUGUCUGAGGACAACGUAUAAAUGUACCUUCAUAAAAGCAGGAAAGGAGGGAAGAGCAACAAGGCUGGAGGCACAGCGGCAAACAGGCCAGUUACGGUAAGGGCCCCUAAGAGGGCAUAUGUUACAGAAGUACUGUGGCUCAACCAUGUGCUGUAGCCGCCCAGCACUUGGGUUUUAUAAUGUGUGUUUUAGCAGUUUAAUCGCACGGGUGGCUUUAGAGCAAUAGGCAAGAGCAUCAGCUCUGGAGCCAGGCUGAGGCAAGAUCCUUAACUGUGGUCAAGAGCAGGGUAACGUUCAAAUUAAGCAAUUGGAACACGGCCUGGCAUAUCAUGGGGGAUCAAGACAUUUCAGUUCUCAUCCUUGGUAAAGUUGGGACCCGAACACAACUGUGAAACCCCAAGUUGGUUUGUAUAGUUUCACAUGGAUUUUUCUUAAAAUCGCCCGAUUGGAACUUAGAAUUUUCCAAUUACUAAACUCAUUCACUGAAUGACCUCAUGACUAAAUUCAGUGGAUAUUUUUCAGGCCUUUGUUUACCUGACCACUCAGCAUGUCGAGACAUCCAAACCUUUUCCUGGCCUUUCCUGAACUCCCACGUCCACCUUCUCCUGGGUUUCCUCCUCCUCCUCUGUGGAGUGCCACAGUCCCUUUGCUGGCUCUUACUCUGCACCACCCACCCGAGUCUUAGGGUCAUCUUAUCAUCCGGCCUCAUGAGACCACCAAAGGCCACACUGGCUUUCAGUUUCCCUCAGAAGGUUAGAGGACAGGUUCUCUAAAGUUAGGCACUAUAAUAGAGUUAAUGGCAUGGGCUUUGGGGCGGAUACAUGGGUUAAGAUCCCAAUUACUAGCCAUAAGGGCUUAGAAAAGGUAAGCUUCGACUUUCUCAUGUAUAAAAUGGGGAUGACAGUCACAGCAUUGCCAGGAGGAUGAAAUAAAAUUUGUAGGUAAACCAAUCAGGCUCAGAGUACUCAAAAUACCUGUUAUAUUACUGAAGAGGACUCUGGCCUGCUUGCUUUUCUUCUUGCAGUUAGGACUUAAACUCUGCUUCAUUUAAGGGGCUUGAACAAACUGAAUAACCAGGUGCCUUUCUGAAGGUGAAUAUGAUCCCAUGAGAUCCCGUGUCUUAUAUCCUGCAGUUGGGCUUCCUGAGCAGAUCCUGUGUACGUAUCUGUAGAAGUACCAGCCCCCGGCCACGGGCAAUCUCAGCUGGAUAAAGUCUUCGCAGGGCAAACAGCCUACUGUGUGGAGCUGCCCCCAGCCCCAGAGUCCUCUCUCCUCUCUCUCUCCUGUCUCACUAUCCAUCAGCAAAAUCCAAACUACCCAUUGAUGCCAAAUCCUUUUCCCCUACCGUAUCAGUAACUCUUGACUUGAGCCCACAAGUCCUGUCUGCUCGACCUUCAGAGGAGCCAGAAUUCACCACUCCUCACCCUCUGCUCUGGUCCAAGCCACCACCUCUGCCCAGUUCUUACAGCUGUCCCCAGGCUCACCUUCCUACCUCUGCCCUUGCCUGCCUUAUGUCUGCUCUCUCACUACCAACAAGAACGCUCUUUUCAAAAUUCUGUCCCUCUUUCGUUCAAGCCCUUCAAGGUGACAGCCACCUACUAAGCCAUCCGAUAUCUCCUCUCCACCUUGUCCGCUUGGGAUUCCUCCCGAAAUACUGCAAACACGGUGUUUUAAGUCUCUGAGCUUUUACGUUUGCUUUUCUGCCGGGAACACUCUUCCCCUUUGAGUGUCCAUAACCUGCUCGGGUCUUUACUAAAGUGCCGCUAUUUCGGCAACAUCUUCCCAGAUGACAUGAGUUAAAACUGAACUCUCCAUAACAGAACCCCACAGGAAUACACGUUGUAGGGAAAAAAUAUUUAAGCUUUCUUGUCCCAAUACUCUUUAUCAUUGGUCCCUGCUUUAUAUUUUUUUUAUAGCACUUACCACCAUCUAACAUACUAUAUAUUUGACUGACUUAUUCUGUUUAGUGUUGAAUUGACCACACUAAAAUGUAUAUUCCAUACGUGGGAGGAUAUUUUCGUCAGUUUUCUUCACCUCUAUAUUCCUGGUGACUUGAAUGGUGCCUGGCACGUAGUAGGCAUGCAAGUGUUUGUUGAGUGAGUGAAUACAUUAGAAUCUGAAGGCCAACUACAGGAGCAUUCUGUAACAGUAUGCCCAACAUUUACUGGCACAGCAACCGACUGAACAGACUAUCGGGAAUAUCUUCCGUGUGCCAGGCGGUCACCUCCCACUAGGCACUGACAAAUACUUAUUAAGCAUCUACUAGGGGUUUGCUCCCAAAGAGUGCUCUUGACGUGGGGAGGGAAGACAGAAAAAUAGGUAUUUUCACUAAUAUACAGUAAGUCUGAUAAUAACAGUUAGCCAAGGUAUUCAGCAGGGUCAGCCAAAGACAGUUGGGGAUGCCAAGGAAAGCUUUUCAAGAACAGAGGUGGUUGCCACUUGAAAAAGACUUUGAAGAGUAGAAAUGGGGGGCCAACUGGCUCAAGGGCAGAGGAUCCAAAAAUAAGAUGUUGUCCUAGUCCUUGGAGAGAUAACUAGUAGAGGAUGUAAGAGACAGCCAAAAAUACAAAAGUUAGCAAGUGAGUGCCAUGGGAGGCAAACAAAGCCCAAAGGAAGAGCUAAGAGGAAUUUAACAAAAUAUUCCCAUAAGAGUUGACCAGAUGAAGUGACAUUCUACUCUUGUUCAUUGGAGUGGUGACAAUGGUGACAGACAUGUUUGUGAAGAAACAUAAACCAUCACUAUUGUUUCUCAAUGGCUGGUAAAUGGCAGGCUUUAUUGAAUCCUUCUAGAAUACCUAUAAAGGUGGAUCCUGUGAAGCCUCUAUGGUAUAUUAAUCACAUUGGUAAGAUUUCUCUCAUAUGCAGGUUCUCUGCUGCCUUGAAUCUGGAAAAGAGGGGCUAAUAGAGAAGGACCCCAACACACUGAGGACUGGGGCAGGGUCUAUACAUGUCUUCAGAUCUCCUCUCAAGGGGGAAAACACAGACUUGUGUAGAAUUUUUGCAGGUGAUCUACUUUAGAAUCUAGUACCUGAGGACAGGUAGGAAGCCCUGCAGGAAUGGAAAUAUGGUGAGCCAGGCCCAGCCAACAGUGGACUUGUCCUAGGACAGCACCACAAAUCAAACAGCAAUAAAGAAGUUUAAGUCAUCUCUGUUCCCUCUGUAUUCUGUAUUCCAGAAAUUCCUGCAAUUCUCAGGGUGGUUGAAUAAAAAUUAGGCUACCUUUUUUUUUUUUAAAGUGUUCUGUGCUGCAUUUCAAAAAUGCAUACAUUUAGUUUUUAUCAAAGCUCUCAGAUACCUUUCUGAGGUCUUCAGGAACUGGAGGACUUGAAUAAAAGGACUACUUGGACAAGUGGUAGAACAUUUCAGCAGCAUCUCAUUUCCAGGUGUAUGUGGAGCCACUAAACCUUGACUGUCUUCCACGCACAGACAUGUAUAAUCAUUUCCCUUGAAUUGGUCCUCCAUUCACCCACCCCUGCUACAGUUCUUAAUUUCACAAAAUAUGUAGAGUUGCUCUGAACUGAUGCCAAAUCCCUUUUCCCUAUGGUAUCAGUAACUCUUGACUUGAGCCCAUGAUUUCACUAAUUGUAUCUUGACUCCUUAAAUUCUAUCUCUGAGCCAUCUAAAUUGCCACGUUCCUCCUCUUUAUUAGAUUUUUGACUGCAACGAUCAUUUCAUAUGAAUAAACAGUGUAGAGAUGCAUUUUCCUACCUCCCACCCCUUCAGUGCCAUGUUAUCAUGCAAUAUCAUUCUCUAGACUUUUUCAAACAUAUAUGCACAUAGAAGGCUUUUUUCCUUUCUUUAUAUAAAAUUACAAAGGCGGGAUCACAUGAUACGCAUUACUUUGCAACUUUCAUUUUUCUCUUCCUGGUAGAAUAGUCAUGCUUGUAGCUCAUAUCACAGAAAUCUUCUUUAAUUGCUUUGUGGGAUUCCCUAGUAUUUGACUAUAUUAGAUUUAUUAAAGUAUUGCUUGAUAUAUGUUCUUUGAAUAUUUUUUACCAUUACAAACAAAGAUGCUUUUAUUUGCAGAAGAUUGAUUACCAGAAUUAGGUAGCUGGGUAAAAAGGUUAUGUAAAUUUUUAACCAAUCUGCCAGAUCACUUUUCAAAACCACUAAGAGUGCCUCAUUCCCGAAUUCAUCCUCAGGAAUGCAUAUUAUUCCUCGUAAUUGCUCUUUUUACAACAUGAUGGGCAAAAUAACACAGUGUCCCAUGGUUUAAGUUUGCCAUUAGCCAGGUUAUGGGUGCUGCUGAACAAUCCUUCAUGCUUACUGGCUGACUACUUUUCUUAAUUCUUUUCCAGAUAGUUGUAUUUUGACUUAUUUAUUUAUUUAUUUAUUUAUUCUUUUUUUUAAUUUACAUCCAAGUGAGUUACCAUAUAGUGCAACAAUGACUUCAGGAGUAGAUUCCUUAAUGCUCUUUUUUUUUUAAAGGAGGUUCUACACCCAGCCAGGAACCCAACACCAGGUUUGAACCCAUGACACCGAGAUCAAGAGUCAGAUGCUUAAACAACUGACCUAGCCACUCAGGUGCCCUGGAUUUCGACAUUUAUUGUAUCUCUUGCCAUAAAGAGUUUAAAUUAGUGAAAUGCACAGUGCCAGACACAUAGUAAAUGCUCUUAUUGUAAAUAAAUAUAACAAUUUCUAAUUUUAUAAAGUCAUAUGCAUCAUUUAAUGACAUGCUCCUACGAUAAGAAGUCAUUUUUUAAAAUGUGCCUUCUUUACAUAGAGCUAUAAGGGAUUUCUUUCACCGGUUCCCCUAUGGUUAGACAUUUAGGUCGAUGAUGGUUAAUGGUUGCACAACAAUGUGAACGCAAUUAAUACUGAAUUGUACACUUUAAAGUGGCUAAGAUGACAAAUUUUACGUCAUGUAUAUUUUGCUGCAAUUUUUUUUUAAAAAGGGGAGGUUAUGGGGCACCUGGGUGGCUCAGUCGGUGGAGCAUCAACUUCAGCUGGGGUCAUGAUCUCGUGGUUGGUGAGUUCAAGCCCCCACCAGGCUCAUCCCUGUCAAGCAUAGAGCCCACUUCAGAUCCUUGGUCCUCCUCACUCUCUGCCCCUCCCCUGCUUGUGCUCUCUUGUCAAAAAUAAACAUUAAAAUAAAUACAUUGAAAAAAGUGGGGGGAUCCACCA